RNAcentral lists this ribosomal RNA (497 nucleotides) under uncultured bacterium. RNAcentral's name for it is "partial 16S ribosomal RNA". It matches the Rfam family "Bacterial small subunit ribosomal RNA", at positions 28 to 507 of the family's 1533-position model. The record is from RNAcentral.
GAUGAACGCUGGCGGCGUGCCUAAUACAUGCAAGUCGAGCGAACAGACGAGGAGCUUGCUCCUCUGACGUUAGCGGCGGACGGGUGAGUAACACGUGGAUAACCUACCUAUAAGACUGGGAUAACUUCGGGAAACCGGAGCUAAUACCGGAUAAUAUAUUGAACCGCAUGGUUCAAUAGUGAAAGACGGUUUUGCUGUCACUUAUAGAUGGAUCCGCGCCGCAUUAGCUAGUUGGUAAGGUAACGGCUUACCAAGGCAACGAUGCGUAGCCGACCUGAGAGGGUGAUCGGCCACACUGGAACUGAGACACGGUCCAGACUCCUACGGGAGGCAGCAGUAGGGAAUCUUCCGCAAUGGGCGAAAGCCUGACGGAGCAACGCCGCGUGAGUGAUGAAGGUCUUCGGAUCGUAAACCUCUGUUAUUAGGGAGGAACAAAUGUGUAAGUAACUAUGCACGUCUUGACGGUACCUAAUCAGAAAGCCACGGCUAACUACGUG